RNAcentral lists this ribosomal RNA (407 nucleotides) under uncultured bacterium. RNAcentral describes it as "partial 16S ribosomal RNA". It matches the Rfam family "Bacterial small subunit ribosomal RNA", at positions 30 to 526 of the family's 1533-position model. The record is from RNAcentral.
AUUGAACGCUGGCGGCAGGCCUAACACAUGCAAGUCGAGCGGACCGUCGGACGGGUGAGUAUUGCCUAGGUAUCUGCCUGUUCGUCUUGGCUAACGUCCUGAAACGGGCCCUAAUACCGCAUCCUAUCAGUUGAGCCUCGUUCGGAUUAGCUAGUUGGUGGGGUAAAGGCCUACCAAGGCGACGAUCCGUAACUGGUCUGAGAGGAUGAUCAGUCACACUGGAACUGAGACACGGUCCAGACUCCUACGGGAGGCAGCAGUGGGGAAUAUUGGACAAUGGGCGAAAGCCUGAUCCAGCCAUGCCGCGUGUGUGAAGAAGGUCUUCGGAUUGUAAAGCACUUUAAGUUGGGAGGCGUUACCAACAGAAUAAGCACCGGCUAACUACGUGCCAGCAGCCGCGGUAAUAC